Molecule: ribosomal RNA, 501 nt
Filed under: uncultured bacterium
Lineage: Bacteria
Description: partial 16S ribosomal RNA
Rfam family: Bacterial small subunit ribosomal RNA
Source: RNAcentral
AUUGAACGCUGGCGGCAUGCCUUACACAUGCAAGUCGAACGGCAGCACGGGUGCUUGCACCUGGUGGCGAGUGGCGAACGGGUGAGUAAUACAUCGGAACGUACCUUAUCGUGGGGGAUAACGCAGCGAAAGCUGUGCUAAUACCGCAUACGCCCUGAGGGGGAAAGCGGGGGAUCGCAAGACCUCGCGCGAUUAGAGCGGCCGAUGCCUGAUUAGCUAGUUGGUGGGGUAAAAGCCCACCAAGGCGACGAUCAGUAGCUGGUCCGAGAGGACGAUCAGCCGCACUGGGAGUGAGACACGGCCCAGACUCCGACGGGAGGCAGCAGUGGGGAAUUUUGGACAAUGGGGGCAGCCCUGAUCCAGCAAUGCCGCGUGAGUGAAGAAGGCCUUCGGGUUGUAAAGCUCUUUUGUCAGGGAAGAAACACCGGCUCUAACACAGUCCGGGAAUGACGGUACCUGAAGAAUAAGCACCGGCUAACUACGUGCCAGCCGCCGCCGUAA